RNAcentral lists this ribosomal RNA (497 nucleotides) under uncultured bacterium. RNAcentral's name for it is "partial 16S ribosomal RNA". It matches the Rfam family "Bacterial small subunit ribosomal RNA", at positions 28 to 507 of the family's 1533-position model. The record is from RNAcentral.
GAUGAACGCUGGCGGCGUGCCUAAUACAUGCAAGUCGAGCGAACAGACGAGGAGCUUGCUCCUCUGACGUUAGCGGCGGACGGGUGAGUAACACGUGGAUAACCUACCUAUAAGACUGGGAUAACUUCGGGAAACCGGAGCUAAUACCGGAUAAUAUAUUGAACCGCAUGGUUCAAUAGUGAAAGACGGCUUUGCUGUCACUUAUAGAUGGAUCCGCGCCGCAUUAGCUAGUUGGUAAGGUAACGGCUUACCAAGGCAACGAUGCGUAGCCGACCUGAGAGGGUGAUCGGCCACACUGGAACUGAGACACGGUCCAGACUCCUACGGGAGGCAGCAGUAGGGAAUCUUCCGCAAUGGGCGAAAGCUUGACGGAGCAACGCCGCGUGAGUGAUGAAGGUCUUCGGGUCGUAAAACUCUGUUAUUAGGGAAGAACAAAUGUGUAAGUAACUAUGCACGUCUUGACGGUACCUAAUCAGAAAGCCACGGCUAACUACGUG